This 656-nucleotide ribosomal RNA is filed under the name Halalaimus luticolus. RNAcentral describes it as "SSU rRNA". It matches the Rfam family "Eukaryotic small subunit ribosomal RNA", at positions 260 to 923 of the family's 1831-position model. Lineage: Eukaryota; Metazoa; Nematoda; Enoplea; Enoplida; Oxystominidae. The record is from RNAcentral.
UUGCUAAUCGCACAGUCUUUGAACUGGCGAUGUAUCUUUCAAAUGUCUGCCUUAUCAACUGUUGAUGGUAGAUUAUGCGCCUACCAUGGUUGUAACGGGUAACGGAGAAUCAGGGUUUGAUUCCGGAGAGGGAGCCUGAGAAACAGCUACCACAUCCAAGGAAGGCAGCAGGCACGCAAAUUACCCACUCCCAGUUCGGGGAGGUAGUGACGAAAAAUAACGAGACGAUGCUCUACGAGUAUCGUCAUCGGAAUGAGUACAAUCUAAAUACUUUAACGAGUAUCUAUUGGAGGGCAAGUCUGGUGCCAGCAGCCGCGGUAAUUCCAGCUCCAAUAGCGUAUAUUAAAGUUGUUGCGGUUGAAAAGCUCGUAGUUGGAUCUGAGAUUGUAGACAGCGGUCCUCAAAUGAGUCGUACUGCUCGUCUCGAUCUAAUCUGUUGGUUGGUAUGCGGUGCUCUUCAUUGAGUGUCGUAUGCUGCCAGCUAUUUUACUUUGAAGAAAUUAGAGUGCUCAAAGCAGGCGCUUGCUCGAAUAUUGGUGCAUGGAAUAAUGGAAUAGGGCCUUGGCUCUAUUUUGUUGGUUUUAGGAGCACAAGGCAAUGAUUAAGAGAAACAGACGGGGGCAUUUGUAUUGCGGCGUUAGAGGUGAAAUUCUUGG